This 509-nucleotide long non-coding RNA is filed under the name Elaeis guineensis (African oil palm). Its description in RNAcentral is "long non-coding RNA (EGUI_LNC080841)". Lineage: Eukaryota; Viridiplantae; Streptophyta; Magnoliopsida; Arecales; Arecaceae. The record is from RNAcentral.
CCCCAAGAAAGUUAUCUCGUGCAAUUGUGACUUACCACCCAAUUGCGUAAUGUAUGUCCUUUUCUUAGUGAUCAUCUUAUGGUGUGUCUACCUAUUCAAUACAACUACUUAUGUGACAGAUACAAUUGGUUUGACAGCCUAAUUGCCUUAGGUGAGUAAAAGGCAAUUACCUGUUAUGGUCCCUGGAUACGAUGCCUCCGUAUCUUCUUCUCAUGGGAUUAGACUUGAAAGAGGAGUGGCUCUCUCUGAAUCCUCUCAAUCGAUCUUCUCUCUCCUCAUCUCACUUAUAUCUCCGAUUGCUGACACUAGUAUUGUCGUAAUAUAGGGAUGUAAUCCUUUUCCCUUUCCAUAGUACAGGGCUUAGAUGGAAUCUCGAUCUGAAUGUACUCGCUCUCCAACUAUCUAUGGUAGGCUUGCCCCUACCCUAAAAUGGAAUUUGAAUAUCCCAGAGAAAGAGAGCUCUGUAAGCUAGGAAAAGGCUUCUCGUUGAUUGUGGAAAUGUUGUCACU